Molecule: ribosomal RNA, 478 nt
Filed under: Myrianida dentalia
Lineage: Eukaryota; Metazoa; Annelida; Polychaeta; Phyllodocida; Syllidae
Description: partial 16S ribosomal RNA
Rfam family: Bacterial large subunit ribosomal RNA
Source: RNAcentral
UGCUUAKUGAKUAUGUGAUAGUAAGUAAUUUCUGCCCAGUGAAAUUUAAACGGCCGCGGUAGCCUGACCGUGCAAAGGUAGCAUAAUCACUUGCCUUUUUAUUGAAGGCUAGAAUGAAAGAAUAAACUUGGGUAAGCCUUUACUUUAUAAUAAAAUAAAAAUUAUUCUUCAGGUGAAGAAACCUGAAUUUCAUAAAAAGACAAAAAGACCCUAUCAAGCUUUAUAUAAAAUAUAACAUAUCUUAUUAAUUUAUAUUUGGKUGGGGCGACUAAUGAGRAUCAAUAUUCUCUCAUAAAAAAUAAGAACUUAUUAUUCUUCUACUUUUAUAAUAUAAUAUAAAAAAGCUACUGUAGGGAUAACAGGCUUAUAUUUUCUUAGAGUUCAAAUUAARGAAAAUGAUUGGCACCUCGAUGUUGGCUUAGGAUUCCUAAUCUUUGCAGAAGAAGAUUUAGGUGGUUUGUUCAACCAUUAAAUUCCU